AGCAGUGCUGAGAAUUGAACCCAGUGCCUCACACAUGCUAGGCAAGCAUUCUACCACUGAGCUACAACCCCAGCCCCAGAAAACGUACUGUUACAGAGUCUUAGAACUUACUGUUUGCCAGGAUAGUGGAUCAGUAAAAGCAAUGGUUAAUAGGUGAGAAGAGAGUCUUUCACUUCAGUUCUCAUCUGAAAUUAUAAUUCCAUGCUCAAUUCUCCAAAGUAUUUCCAAUCAUCUUUUCCCUUUAUGAUUAUGGAACUGGUGUGUUACUAGAGAGAGAACUUUUUUUGUGUGUAAAAAAGUUUAUUUUGUUUUGUUUCUUUUUUUUUUCCACAAAAAGAAUUUCCUUAAUUCUUGACCUGCUCUGUGGUCACUAGGAGCUGAACCCAUAUAGAAGAAGACUAUAGUGUUUGAAAUAAUUUUGUAUUAGAUUUCUCAUAUUCUGUUAAUGUAAAACUGGAACAGAGGACCAUCUUCUAGACCUAUUCUCUAGGGAUGCUAGUUCACUCAGAAACAAAUAUUUAGCAAGCACCUACUCUAUGAAAAGAUAGUAGAAGUUCUGAAGGGCUAAACCCUAAUGAAUAGGAAAUGACAAUACCCAAGUCAGCCCUCAGAAAUUUAUAAGUUUUUGUUCUUUGAAGUUACAAAGCAGCUUUUGUCAGUUUGACCUACAAAACUGAAGCAAUAAAACUUUUGUUCAUUGCCCCUAUAUAAGAAUAGGUUGUUCCUUAUUAAGAAAUAAAGGACCAUGAUCUCUUUUUUUAACAAAGUUGGUG
Molecule: long non-coding RNA, 773 nt
Filed under: Marmota monax (woodchuck)
Lineage: Eukaryota; Metazoa; Chordata; Mammalia; Rodentia; Sciuridae
Source: RNAcentral